This 496-nucleotide ribosomal RNA is filed under the name uncultured bacterium. RNAcentral's name for it is "partial 16S ribosomal RNA". It matches the Rfam family "Bacterial small subunit ribosomal RNA", at positions 28 to 507 of the family's 1533-position model. The record is from RNAcentral.
GACGAACGCUGGCGGCGUGCCUAAUACAUGCAAGUUGAGCGCUCAAGGUUGGUGCUUGUACCAACUGGAUUAGCAGCGGACGGGUGAGUAACGCGUGGGUAAUCUGCCUUUGAGCGGGGGACAACAUUUGGAAACGAAUGCUAAUACCGCAUAAAAACUUUAAACACAAGUUUUAAGUUUGAAAGAUGCAAUUGCAUCACUCAAAGAUGAUCCCGCGUUAUAUUAGCUAGUUGGUUAGGUAAAGGCUCACCAAGGCGACGAUACAUAGCCCCACUGAGAGGGUGAUAGCCGACACGGGAACUGAGACACGGUCCAGACGACUACGGGAGGCAGAAGUAGGGAAUCGUCAGCAAUGGGCGAAAGCCUGAAGGAGCAACGCCGCGUGAGAGAUGAAGGUCUGAGGAUCGUAAAACUCUGUUAUUAGGGAAGAACAUACGUGUAAGUAACUGUGCACGUCGUGACGGUACCUAAUCAGAAAGCCACGGCUAACUACGUG